UUCACAGCCUCAGCCCCCCCCCCCCCCACACACACACACACAAACAAAGAGGCGUUAGGCUGAGACGCUGAAAGUCCGGAUUUAAAGUGCAGAAAAUGAAGCCAUUGAAUCUGCCUGUCCAUGACGUACAAAGACACACUAUGAGCCAGUAUGAUCCGACCAGACCUGACAUCAGCAUUGAGGAGUUGUCGGAGAAGAAAGAGGCUGAUUGAAGCGGGACAGAUGACAUGGAUCCAUCCUUCCACAGCCAGGAGUGCACCGACCUGUGUCCCACACUUCAUAUAAGACUGGAAGCUACACUGAUCUCACAGCUACACACCACAGACGUCUACACACUGGAGAAGAGUCCCACAAAGAAGUCAUGACCCAGAGGCUGCAGAGAAACAUUUCAAGCCUCAUCUGAGUUUUUGUACAAUAUUUUUGCUGUAUGUAAAUAAAGCUUUCACUCCACAUA
This is a long non-coding RNA of Limanda limanda (common dab), 454 nucleotides long. RefSeq lists it as uncharacterized. The transcript is spliced from 3 exons. The record is from RefSeq and is a predicted model, not a curated record. Lineage: Eukaryota; Metazoa; Chordata; Actinopteri; Pleuronectiformes; Pleuronectidae.